GUGACCAAUAACAUCUGAUAAAUAUGUGUAUGUGACCAAUAACAUCUGAUAAAUAUGUGUAUGGACCAAUAACAUCUGAUAAAUAUGGACCAAUAACAUCUGAUAAAUAUGUGUAUGGACCAAUAACAUCUGAUAAAUAUGGACCAAUAACAUCUGAUAAAUAUGUGUAUGUGACCAAUAACAUCUGUUAAAUAUGGACCAAUAACAUCUGUUAAAUAUGGACCAAUAACAUCUGAUAAAUAUGGACCAAUAACAUCUGUUAAAUAUGGACCAAUAACAUCUGUUACAUAUGGACCAAUAACAUCUGUUAAAUAUGGACCAAUAACAUCUGUUAAAUAUGGACCAAUAACAUCUGUUAAAUAUGGACCAAUAACAUCUGUUAAAUAUGGACCAACAACAUCUGAUAAAUAUGUCUAUGUGACCAAUAACAUCUGAUAAAUAUGUGUAUGUGACCAAUAACAUCUGAUAAAUAUGUGUAUGUGACCAAUAACAUCUGUUAAAUAUGUGUAUGGACCAAUAACAUCUGAUAAAUAUGUGUAUGGACCAAUAACAUCUGAUAAAUAUGUGUAUGGACCAAUAACAUCUGUUAAAUAUGUGUAUGGACCAACAACAUCUGAUAAAUAUGUGUAUGUGACCAAUAACAUCUGAUAAAUAUGUGUAUGUGACCAAUAACAUCUGAUAAAUAUGUGUAUGGACCAAUAACAUCUGCUAAAUAUGGACCAAUAACAUCUGAUAAAUAUGGACCAAUAACAUCUGAUAAAUAUGGACCAAUAACAUCUGAUAAAUAUGGACCAAUAACAUCUGAUAAAUAUGUGUAUGUGACCAAUAACAUCUGAUAAAUAUGUGUAUGUGACCAAUAACAUCUGAUAAAUAUGUGUAUGUGACCAAUAACAUCUGAUAAAUAUGUGUAUGUGACCAAUAACAUCUGAUAAAUAUGUGUAUGGACCAAUAACAUCUGAUAAAUAUGUGUAUGGACCAAUAACAUCUGAUAAAUAUGUGUAUGGACCAAUAACAUCUGAUAAAUAUGUGUAUGUGACCAAUAACAUCUGAUAAAUAUGGACCAAUAACAUCUGUUAAAUAUGGACCAAUAACAUCUGUUAAAUAUGGACCAAUAACAUCUGUUAAAUAUGGACCAAUAACAUCUGUUAAAUAUGGACCAAUAACAUCUGUUAAAUAUGGACCAAUAACAUCUGUUAAAUAUGGACCAAUAAACAUCUGUUAAAUAUG
Molecule: long non-coding RNA, 1227 nt
Organism: Oncorhynchus tshawytscha (Chinook salmon)
Lineage: Eukaryota; Metazoa; Chordata; Actinopteri; Salmoniformes; Salmonidae
Source: Ensembl